CGGCAGGCCUAACACAUGCAAGUCGAAUGGUAACAGGAAACAGCUUGCUGUUUCGCUGACGAGUGGCGGACGGGUGAGUAAUGUCUGGGAAACUGCCUGAUGGAGGGGGAUAACUACUGGAAACGGUAGCUAAUACCGCAUAACGUCGCAAGACCAAAGAGGGGGACCUUCGGGCCUCUUGCCAUCAGAUGUGCCCAGAUGGGAUUAGCUAGUAGGUGGGGUAACGGCUCACCUAGGCGGCGAUCCCUAGCUGGUCUGAGAGGAUAACCAGCCACACUGGAACUGAGACACGGUCCAGACUCCUACGGGAGGCAGCAGUGGGGAAUAUUGCACAAUGGGCGCAAGCCUGAUGCAGCCAUGCCGCGUGUAUGAAGAAGGCCUUCGGGUUGUAAAGUACUUUCAGCGGGGAGGAAGGGAGUAAAGUUAAUACCUUUGCUCAUUGACGUUACCCGCAGAAGAAGCACCGGCUAACUCCGUG
RNAcentral lists this ribosomal RNA (478 nucleotides) under uncultured bacterium. RNAcentral's name for it is "bacterial SSU rRNA". It matches the Rfam family "Bacterial small subunit ribosomal RNA", at positions 40 to 507 of the family's 1533-position model. The record is from RNAcentral.